AGCGAACGCUGGCGGCAUGCUUAACACAUGCAAGUCGAACGAAGGCCCGGAGCUUGCUCCGGUGUCCUUAGUGGCGGACGGGUGAGUAACGCGUGGGAACCUGCCCAGUAGUGGGGAAUAACGUCUGGAAACGGACGCUAAUACCGCAUACGCCCCUCGGGGGAAAGGCUUAGGUCGCUAUCGGAGGGUCCCGCGUCUGAUUAGCUUGUUGGUGAGGUAAUGGCUCACCAAGGCGACGAUCAGUAGCUGGUCUGAGAGGAUGAUCAGCCACACUGGGACUGAGACACGGCCCAG
RNAcentral lists this ribosomal RNA (294 nucleotides) under uncultured bacterium. RNAcentral's name for it is "partial 16S ribosomal RNA". It matches the Rfam family "Bacterial small subunit ribosomal RNA", at positions 29 to 334 of the family's 1533-position model. The record is from RNAcentral.